Molecule: transfer RNA, 61 nt
Filed under: Sistrurus catenatus (massasauga)
Lineage: Eukaryota; Metazoa; Chordata; Lepidosauria; Squamata; Viperidae
Description: tRNA-Gly
Source: RNAcentral
AUUUCUUUAGUGUACGAGCAUAUAUGCCUUCCAAGCAUAGGGACCCUCCAGGGAAGAAAUA